This 245-nucleotide ribosomal RNA is filed under the name uncultured bacterium. Its description in RNAcentral is "partial small subunit ribosomal RNA". It matches the Rfam family "Bacterial small subunit ribosomal RNA", at positions 26 to 291 of the family's 1533-position model. The record is from RNAcentral.
AGGACAAACGCUGGCGGCGUGCGUAACACAUGCAAGUCGAACGAGCCGAGAGAUCGGCGAGUGGCGGACGGGUGAGGAACACGUGGAUAACCGACCCUUGACUGGGGAAUACCAAGACGAAAGUUUUGUUAAUACCGCAUACGCUGGGGACAGGAAAGCUCUUCGGAGCGGUCGAGGACGGGUCUGCGGACGAUUAGCUAGUUGGUGCGGGUAAUGGCUCACCAAGGCGAUGAUCGUUAGCUGGU